CUGACCUCAGCCCCGGACUCGGUCCGAAGAGCGCGGCCCGGAGGGGGCGGGGCCGAGCCCGGAGGAAAGGCGGUGCGCAUGCGCGAGGCGAGCGGGCAGACGAAGGAAGAGUGGCCGGACCCGGCCGUGGUCACCGAAGCCCCCAGCCCUGUCCCCGCACGGAUGCCGGAAGCCCGUCCACACCGCGCGGGGAGCGGCGGUCCGGGUCCUCCUACGGCCUGGGGGCCCUGUCACCGCGAUCUUAAUUGAUGCCCGAAGGAUCCAGAGAAAGGACACAUUGGCGCCUGCCCAGGGCGGGCGGGGUCCCCCGGCGAGGCCAGGCCGAUGGGGUGGAUGGGCUUCUGCUCGCGACCGCCUUGUGGGGCGCUGGCAUCGGAUUGGAGUGGGGCAGCACCGGGGGAGGACAGAGACCCCACGCAGCAGGCCCAGGGGCAGGCGCUCGGCUCCUGCGUGCCACGCUCCGGCCUCCCCAGAUCGCCCCAGCACAGCCGCCCGCUGGAUCUUCCCUUCUCAGAAACCUGCAGUGGCCUCAGACCCAGACUCCCUGGACUUGCCCUUAAGGCCCACUAUUCCCUAAUUCAUCUCCUCUCACCUUGACUGCUCUUCCAUUCCCUUAUCCCCGCCAUACACAGCGGUCUUCCCUUGCCUGCGUCUGGGCGCCCUGGAUCUUCCCCUGUGCUCCAUCCCCCUAAUCUGUGACCCACCAAACGUGCCCAUCCCUCAAAGUGUAGCUAAAACUGCACUCCUUCUCCAACCAAACUCCAUAGCCCCUUAGUGUGUCUCAGUAUUCUCAGAAGAGCCCUGAGGUUGUGUCAAUUGAUUCUUCUCAAUAGAAAUAAUCCGUUACAUAAUUUAACAAUUUAUAUGCAUUGAUCAGGCUUUGCAAAUGAUGAUAUUUGCAAAUGAGAAAGAAAGUUCUUUGCCAGACCCAUGUAUCCUGAUUUACAAUUGUGCGUUGUAUCCUUUACUAGAUGGCUGCAUCCCCCAGGUGAGAGACUAUGCCUUAAUAUGCAGAAUAUCUAAAUUUUUUUGGAAUCCUGGUGAGAAAAAAAUUCAGAAGUUUGGAGAAAAUGGAAAUAUAACAAAUCUUUUUGCACUCUUCA
This is a long non-coding RNA of Piliocolobus tephrosceles (Ugandan red Colobus), 1103 nucleotides long. RefSeq lists it as uncharacterized. The record is from RefSeq and is a predicted model, not a curated record. NCBI's taxonomy places the organism in Eukaryota, Metazoa, Chordata, Mammalia, Primates, Cercopithecidae. The transcript has 2 exons.